This 47-nucleotide ribosomal RNA is filed under the name Fusarium oxysporum. RNAcentral describes it as "partial 18S ribosomal RNA". The record is from RNAcentral. Lineage: Eukaryota; Fungi; Ascomycota; Sordariomycetes; Hypocreales; Nectriaceae.
AAAAAGUGUAACAAGGUCUCCGUUGGUGAACCAGCGGAGGGAUCAUU